This 28-nucleotide ribosomal RNA is filed under the name Eucalyptus pilularis. RNAcentral describes it as "partial 18S ribosomal RNA". The record is from RNAcentral. Lineage: Eukaryota; Viridiplantae; Streptophyta; Magnoliopsida; Myrtales; Myrtaceae.
CAUAGUUGACCCUGCGGAAGGAUCAUUG